Molecule: small nucleolar RNA, 111 nt
Filed under: Ochotona princeps (American pika)
Lineage: Eukaryota; Metazoa; Chordata; Mammalia; Lagomorpha; Ochotonidae
Description: Small nucleolar RNA SNORA74 (ENSOPRG00000024271.1)
Source: RNAcentral
CCCAGCUGUAGACAAUGGCCUAGGUUACCUUGUACCUAGACAAGUGUUACACAGCUGGGAGAAAAGAAGCCAAUAGCUGGUGGGCAUCCUGGGCCUGAUUAAUACCAAAUU